AAGUCGUAACAAGGUUUCCGUAGGUGAACCUGCGGAAGGAUCAUUAUCGAAUUAAAGGGAGUUGAUGCUGGCGUUCAUUCGCAUGUGCUCGCUCUCCUAAUCCAUUCACACCUGUGCACCUUUUUGAAGAAGGCGAGAUAAGUCUUCAAUGUUUCUGUCUAUUCAGAGACUGAGAGGAAUUGUCUCCCUUCUUUGAACUUACAAACCCUUAUUGUAAUAAUGAAUGUUUAUCUGCCGAAAGGCGAAAUUAUAUACAACUUUUAACAACGGAUCUCUUGGCUCUC
RNAcentral lists this unclassified non-coding RNA (284 nucleotides) under air metagenome. Its description in RNAcentral is "partial contains small subunit ribosomal RNA, internal transcribed spacer 1, and 5.8S ribosomal RNA". The stretch from base 1 to 46 matches the Rfam family "Eukaryotic small subunit ribosomal RNA", at positions 1786 to 1831 of the family's 1831-position model. The record is from RNAcentral.